Small nuclear RNA from Apodemus sylvaticus (European woodmouse), 158 nucleotides. RefSeq annotates it as U1 spliceosomal RNA. Lineage: Eukaryota; Metazoa; Chordata; Mammalia; Rodentia; Muridae. The transcript has a single exon. The record is from RefSeq and is a predicted model, not a curated record.
AUACUUACCUGGCAGGGGAGAUACCAGGAUCACAAAGGUGGUUUUCCCAAGGCGAGGCUUAUCCAUUGCAUUCCGGAUGUGCUGACCCCUGUGAUUUCCCCAAAUGUGGGGUUUGGUAUAUAAACUUAGUGACAACAUGCUAUGGUGCCAUGAGCUCA